AACGAACGCUGGCGGCAUGCCUAACACAUGCAAGUCGAACGGGAUCCUAGCUUGCUAGGUGAGAGUGGCGGACGGGUGAGUAACACGUGGGAAUCUGCCUUUUGGUUCGGGAUAACCGCGGGAAACUGCGGCUAAUACCGAAUGCCCUCGAGAGAGGAAAGAUUUAUCGCCAGAAGAGGAGCCCGCGUCCGAUUAGGUAGUUGGUGGGGUAAAGCCUACCAAGCCGACGAUCGGUAGCUGGUCUGAGAGGAUGAUCAGCCACACUGGGACUGAGAUACGGCCCAGACUCCUACGGGAGCAGCAGUGGGGAAUAUUGGACAAUGGGGGCAACCCUGAUCCAGCAAUGCCGCGUGAGUGAUGAAGGCCUUAGGGUUGU
RNAcentral lists this ribosomal RNA (376 nucleotides) under uncultured bacterium. Its description in RNAcentral is "bacterial SSU rRNA". It matches the Rfam family "Bacterial small subunit ribosomal RNA", at positions 29 to 426 of the family's 1533-position model. The record is from RNAcentral.